CCCUGCACACGCAGCACAAGCAGGCCCGGCUGCAGGCGCUGGAGACCAUGGCCGACGUCCUGCAGCAGCGUGUUGACAUCCUGACCGCCAAGCUGCACAGGACCGAGGUGUCUGACACCGUGCCCACUGUCCCAGCCUACCCGGGGGCCUCAGUGCCCAGUGAAGACAGAGUAUCACUUCACGAUGGCUUCCUGGAUGUGGAGGUACUGCCUUGGAUCUCAGGCUGGGAGCCCUGGAGCCCAGAGAUCAGCCCCGAGAGCCAGCGCCAAGGUACCAUGCAGGAGGGAUGCUGGCAGCUGGAGCAGAGGCUGCAGGGAGACUCUGUGCCUGUCCAGGCCCCUGGAGCCGGUGCAGGGAGCACACUUGGGGCACCUGCUGCCCCGCACCCCACCUGUGGCUCCCUGUGGCUGGAGGACUUGCUGGCUGCCAGAGGGGAGGGCUUGGUGACGCCCUGGACCCCCCGGAGCUGUGCUGUCACAGGACCCAGGAGGAGAGCAGAUUCCCAAGAGCCCAGAGGGCUGCACCCCAGAGGCCGAGGUGGGCACCUUGCUGACUUCCAGCUGAAGUCCUUGAGCUUCCUCGAGUCACUGAAGCUGGACCAGCGGAAGCAGGAGCAGGCUCUGGGGCUCCUGCGGCAGCGAGCGGAGCAGGAGGUCUGGGAGACACAGAUGGCUCUGGAUGGGCUGCUCUUCAAGCACCAGCUAGAGCGGCUGAUGGAGAAACAGGGGGCCCGCACCAGGCCAGGAAUGGACUCGAAGCUGGAGCAGCCACACGCCCACGUGGACCCAGAGCCCACAUCACUGGCCCAGAGUCCCAUGCCCCGCAGAACCAGGUCACCCCCAGCCCUGGGCAGAGAUGUCACCGGGUCCUUCCAGGAUCCUGAGGAGGGGCAAGCCAGUGCGGAGGGCAAGUUGGCUUCUGCAGGGCUGGCCUCGCUGGACACAGACCCCACCCAGCCGCCCCUGGCCCCGCUCAGCCCUCGGGACAGCCCCGAACACCAGGGGAGCUCGGUAAGGACCGGGAGCGCCAAGCCAGGAGCGGGCUUGACAGCCGGGCUGAAGCAGAGCCUGCGGGAGGAGGAUGAGCUGCGCGCGCAACACCAGGAAGCGCUGCUGCGCCUGCGCCAAAUGGCGAGAGAAGAAAAGGCCUGCGCCGGGCGGGCUUGGAUAGAGCACCUGCACGGACUAAGAGGCCAAGAGACCCUCCACGCCUUCCCUGAGACGGUGCUGGCAAGCACACACCAGGAGCUUUCCUUAGCGGGGACCCAGAAGCGGGGUCCCCCACGGUGUCUGGGGAGCCGGGGCCACCAAGCCACAGGGGCUGCUCUGUUGGAGCGGACAAGGCAGACCCUCUGCAGGCUGGAGAAGGAGCCGGUGCAGAGGGAAGUCCGGGACCUGUGGAACCUGCACGGGUCAGUGCUCCCAGGCAGGCAGCAGCUCCUGCAGCACCACAAGGCCAUUCUCACAGUGCAAAGGACCCCGCCCCGGCCACAGAGUCCCAGCCCCAAAGUCAAGGCCACUUGGGAAGGCCCCUCAGAGACAGGCCAGCCGGAGGGAGCCCUGUGCCUCCCGACACCACACAGGCCUGGCAGCUCCACCAGCCCACAAGUCCAGAGAGGUCCUGAGAGUGUGGAGGUUGCAAGCCUGGCCUCUGAGCGGUGGGAGGGAACACCUGCGACAUCAUCAGAUGCCGACGGCCACCAGCAGUCUCCAAGGCUGGCCUGGGGAGAGGACACAGCCAAGGCCAGCAGCCCACCCAAGGAGAGAGGCAGCCAUGCAGACCAAGGGGACCCUCAGACGCAGCCUAGAGCUUGCUGGGCCGAGAAGAGGCCCCCAGCUCAAGUGGGUGGCUGCCAAGGACCCAGCCUGCGACGCCUGGGAGCAGACGGUCCUCACUGUCCCCAGGAAGCAAGUGUGGCUGGACUAGAUGCUGCCGGGAUCCCCACAGAGGAACCCCUGGAAGUGGAGAGCGGGCUACCUGGGGAGCAGAGGACAGAGGCCUGUCGGCAGAAGGACAGCAGCGCCCUCCUGGCCACCUCCCCAGCAGCUCCUGCUGCCGUGGAAGAGGAUGCGAGAACCCCUGUGCACCUGGGCUCCAGGCCUACAGCUGGGCUCCCCUUGGAGUCUGCAGGGUCCCUAGCAUCGUCCCCCACAUCCUCAGCAGGUUCUGUGAGUGGUCUGUCCUGCUCCUCCCUCCAGGACUUCCAGAAAGCCACAGCUACUCUGGUCCAGCUUUCUGACAGCUCCCUCUCUGUGUCUGGCCCAGAGGCUGAGCGCAGCCAGGGCACCGACCCCAACUGGUCAGAGGAGCUGUCUGCUCACAAGGACUUUGGCUCAUCCUUGUUUGGGGGGCCCUACCAGGGUGAUCCUCAGCCAGAUGCUGUUCCUGGGGGUGCAGGGCAGGUGACCUGGCAGAGGCCAGAGCGUGGCCAGGCUGGUGCCCUGCCUGGCUCUCCGGACGUGGCUGUGGCAGAAGACUUAGUCCCAGAGCGGACCUUCCUGCAGGCAGGCUGGCCACUGCCUCCCCAAGAUGUCUGUUCUCCAAGGUCUGGCUCAGAGCUGUCAGAGGCCUCCAGCCAAAUUUGGGACGAGGGCAUUGAAGAGAACCUAUCAGAACCUGGUGCGGGGGCCGGGCCCACCUCUGGGAGCUCCUCGCCUCCUGGCUCUUCCAUCUUGGAGCACAGUGUGGUUGUACCUGCCUCGGGCCCCAGGCAGGGACAGGAAGCUUCUGGAACCAGCUGGAGCCUGAGCGGGGGGUCAGACACAGGGAGCACAGAGCAGGUGUCCCCUGAGGCGGCCUCUUCGAAUGACCUAGACCCAUCACUGUCAUUUCCUUCAGAGACUUCUGCAUCUGAAGGGGCUGGGGGCCAGGAGAGGCCCCAGGGUGCUGGCCUGAGCUUGUCCUCUGAAAGGAGUCCUCCACAGGCCUCUCCAGGGCCUGAGGUCCCCUGGGGGCUGGCAUCCCCUGUGGCCAAGCCCCAGGCCCCCCGAGUCCCAGAGCAAGCUUGCCCCCUGCACACUGCUGGUUUCCUGUCCUCUGUGGAUGGGGAACUGUCUUACGGCAGUGAGGACCUCCCACGUGCCCCCCCCUGGGCCACCCACCUCCCUCCACCGCCUCCCACUCCCCAGGCUGACAGUGACAGGGAUGAGGCCCAGCCCUGCUCCGAAGACUUCCCUUCCCCACCCCAAGAGGCCAUGGUUCCCCAAGACUCGCUGGGUCCCCAGCAGUCAGGGCUCAGCCUGGGGGCACCUGGGCCACAUGGAGGCCCUGAGGGUGAACUGGGUGGGUCAGGGCCUGCGGUGGGGAUGCAGGCUGUGGGUAGCCAGUGGUCCCAACAGGUCACCCGUCCAGAGUCACCCUUGGGUGAGGGGGUGGGCGUCAGUGGGGGGCUCCCCCAGGUAUCAGCACACUCCCUGCCUCCGUCCCAAGUGGCCUGCAUGGCAGGGGAGAAUGUGUCCAGGCUGUUGGUAGCUUGUGGCCCAGAUGUGCUGGGUAUGGGGCCCUGGGCCGAGGGCACCUCUGGCAGUCACCUUGGGCCCCAGGCAGGGGUGCAGUGCUUCACCAGGGCAGGGCACCAGGAAGGCUCAAGUUUCCUCCCAACUCCUCCUGGAGACCAGGCGGCCUGGGUAUCUCAUGGCCAGGCAGGGUCCCCCGGGCACACUGGUGAGGAGGGUGUGGACGGCCUGAGCCACUGGGCAGAGGACUCACUGGGCAGAGAGCUGCUCCUAGGGGAACACAUGGCCACCGGCCCCACCUCAGGCUCCUGCUCUGAUGUGGGCACAGAGAGGGACGAGGUGGUGGCCCUGGUGUCCACCCAGCUCACCCAGAGGAUCUUGUGUGACUCCAUGGCUGUGCUCUCAGGGCUGGCCCCUGGGGGCAGCCUCUAGUCCCUGCGAUGUUACUGUGUGUCUCAGUUGCCUUCCUCUCCUGCCUGAGACAAAAUACCUGCCGCCGGAAGUUAAGGGAGGAAGGGUUUAUUUAGCUCAGUUUGUGGAGGUUUCGGUCUGUGACUGGCUAGCUCCCAGGCAGAGGGGUGUCGCAGAGGAGAAGCUGUUUUUGGCGCCCACACAGUAGCCACAGCAGCAAGAGAACCUUAACAGAGUCUUUCUGCCCUUCUUACUCAAACUACUGGGAUUAGGGCAGUGCCAAGCCAAUCUGUGGACUGGUUUAGCAAUCACAACCCUAAUCCCAGCAUCAUACUAUAGAUCCAGCCACCCACAAUCUGUGGUGGUUUAGCAAUCACAACCCUAAUCCCAGCAUCAUACUAUAGAUCCAGCCACCCCGAACAAACCCUGUGACCGAAGGGGGCUCUGGGGACAUCUAGACCCAGACCGUAACACUGUGAGUGCGUGCGUGUGUAUGCCUGUGCCUCCAGAAGCUGGGCCUCCCCUUCUGGGGUACAGUAAUGCUGUGUGGCCACCCUGCUGCUGGCCAUACCGGAAGGCAUGUGACCAGGCAUCCAUUGGCUGGGUUCUCCAUAAGGGAGGAUGCACAGCUUCCUUCAGGGCUCUCUGGGGCCCUGACUGACAUCAGAGGGAGGAGUCUGUUCCUGGAGCACAGGCCAGGUGGGCCUCAGAAAGAGGAGUGCUCAGCUGCCUGUCUGAGUGGUACACUCAGUUUCCGUGGGGCGAGGCAGAGGACUGCAGGGCCGGUGGGAGGGGACAAUGGCACAGGGUCUUACAGUGGGACAGCUCAUUCAGGCCUCCCUGGAAGCCACUUCUGACUGUCCCAGGCUGUGCCUGAACCCCACCUUCCAGGCCCUUACGGAAGUGGCUUUGCAUGAGCCCGGCGCUCAAUGCUUACAGAGGAAGCAGUUUUAGGGUCUGUUUUCUGACUUUCACACAGGAUUUCUUGAGAGGAUCUGGAGGCUGUGAAGGAAGUCUCCCAGGUUACUUUCCACUCCUGAAGCAGUGUGUGCGCACACACGUGUGAAUUGUCACUUCUGCAAACCCUUCUUACUCAUCACCCACCUACUCAUCCAUGUGUCUCUCCACCUAUCUGUGGUCUGUCCAUGCAUCUUUACCAACUCCUUACCUUAAUCAUUUAUAAAUGAUGUCGGAGCUGAGCACAAGCCUAUAAUCCAGCUACUUCAGAGGCUGAGGCAGGAGAGCUGCAAGUUCAAGUCCAGCCUAGGGAAUUUAGCAAGACCUUAUCUCAAAAAAUAAAUACUAAAAGGGCUGGGGCUGGGGCUCAGUGGUAGAGCUUCUUUCCUAGCUUGUGUGAAGCCCUGGGUCCCAUCCCUAGAACUUCAAAAACGAAAACAACCAAAAAGCCAAGCGUGGUGGUGGAUGCCUGUAAUCCCAGCUCUCAGGAGGCUGAAGCAGUAGGAUCACCUCGAGUUCAAGGCCAGCCUGGGCGACACAAUCAAUUCAAGACCAACUUGAACUAUACAGUGAACUAUACAGUGAAAAGACAAACCCAGAAAUAACAAAACAAAAAACCCCAAAACUUCAAAUAUGUUUAUAAAUAAUUUGUAGCCCUGGCAGAAGCCAAUGUGCCAUGAGAGGGUGGGGUACACAGGAGCCACACACACAGCGGCUUUGGGAACUUGAUCCCUGAACAUUGGAAAAUACCACUUGGGCCCAGUAAUAUGUACAACUUCUGGGUUUUACGGACCAGUUCAAAUUAAUUUUUUAAAACCCACUUGAAUUAAAGAUUCUAAACUAGGAAAGAAUUGUUCUCAGGAAAUUAUUGUUUUCUCCUUGUUCAUGGGUGUGCUACACUUUACACUUUCUAUUAAGACAUAAUCCCCCUACCACAACAUUCACUUGUUUACACUGUACACGUGGAGAAUUUGAGACCCCUUAGAGUACUUAGUAUAUUCACACAUCCCCCCUCCCAGUGGGUGUGGGUCUUUGUCCCCCUCAGGCUGGGACCCCCAGUGAGAGGGCCCCUUCAUCUUACUGUACUUGGGCCCAAGGGCCCCAGACUUUCAUGCACCCGCGCUGCUUUAUCUUUAUUUGUAUUUGCCCAUGUCUGCAGUACAUAAUGAUCACGCUCUUCACGGAAGCUGGUGCAUGGACACGGCACAUCUCUGGGUUUGUUUUGUUUUUUUUACCUCCCCUUCUCUUUCCCGCUCCCUCCAUCUCUUGGUUCCCUUUCUUUUUUGCAGGAGGCCUAUCUCCUGGUUCCUAUUAUCCAUCCUUUAUUUCGCUCUUAUUUAUUCUUUGGGCUUCACAUAUCAGAGAACCCACACUACUGAAUCCUGUGCGUCUGACUGAUUUCACUUGAGCAGCAGAGUCUCAAGGCCUGGUGCUGUGUCCUCAGUGGAAGAAGCAGGCAGAGCAGAGGUUUUAGGUGCCAGGUCCUGGGACCCUGGAGACACCUUUGAG
Molecule: long non-coding RNA, 6332 nt
Filed under: Fukomys damarensis (Damara mole-rat)
Lineage: Eukaryota; Metazoa; Chordata; Mammalia; Rodentia; Bathyergidae
Description: lncRNA (ENSFDAG00000030925.1)
Source: RNAcentral